Molecule: ribosomal RNA, 253 nt
Filed under: uncultured bacterium
Lineage: Bacteria
Description: partial 16S ribosomal RNA
Rfam family: Bacterial small subunit ribosomal RNA
Source: RNAcentral
UACGGAGGGUGCAAGCGUUAAUCGGAAUUACUGGGCGUAAAGAGUGCGUAGGUGGUUGGAUAAGUUAGCUGUGAAAUCCCUGGGCUCAACCUGGGAAGGUCAUCUAAGACUGUCUGACUGGAGUAUAGAAGAGGGUAGUGGAAUUUCCGGUGUAGCGGUGAAAUGCGCAGAUAUCAGGAAGAACACCCGUGGCGAAGGCGGCUCUCUGGGACGGUACUGACGCUGAGACGCGAAAGCGUGGGGAGCGAACAGG